GUUGUAUGGUUAAGUGACUAAGCGUACACGGUGGAUGCCUUGGCAGUCAGAGGCGAUGAAGGACGUAGUAACUUGCGAUAAGCGUAGAUGAGGCAGUAACAGCCACUUGAGUCUACGAUUUCCGAAUGGGGAAACCCACUGGCAUAAGCCAGUAUCAUUGAGUGAAUACAUAGCUCAAUGAAGCGAACCGGGAGAACUGAAACAUCUAAGUACCCCGAGGAAAAGAAAUCAACCGAGAUUCCGAAAGUAGCGGCGAGCGAAAUUGGAUUAGCCCUUAAGCUUUACAUGUGUUAGACGAACGGUCUGGAAAGUCCGACGAUACAGGGUGAUAGUCCCGUAGUUGACGAUGCAUGUUCAGUGAAAUCGAGUAGGGCGGGACACGUGUUAUCCUGUCUGAAUAUGGGGGGACCAUCCUCCAAGGCUAAAUACUCCUGACUGACCGAUAGUGAACCAGUACCGUGAGGGAAAGGCGAAAAGAACCCCUGUGAGGGGAGUGAAAUAGAACCUGAAACCGUGUACGUACAAGCAGUAGGAGCACCUUCGUGGUGUGACUGCGUACCUUUUGUAUAAUGGGUCAGCGACUUAUAUUCAGUGGCAAGGUUAACCAUCUAGGGGAGCCGUAGGGAAACCGAGUCUUAACUGGGCGCCAUAGUCUCUGGAUAUAGACCCGAAACCGAGUGAUCUAGCCAUGGGCAGGUUGAAGGUUGAGUAACAUCAACUGGAGGACCGAACCGACUAAUGUUGAAAAAUUAGCGGAUGACUUGUGGCUAGGGGUGAAAGGCCAAUCAAACUCGGAGAUAGCUGGUUCUCCCCGAAAGCUAUUUAGGUAGCGCCUCGGACGAAUACUACUGGGGGUAGAGCACUGUUAAGGCUAGGGGGUCAUCCCGACUUACCAACCCUUUGCAAACUCCGAAUACCAGUAAGUACUAUCCGGGAGACACACGGCGGGUGCUAACGUCCGUCGUGGAGAGGGAAACAACCCAGACCGCCAGCUAAGGUCCCAAAUUACAGCUAAGUGGGAAACGAUGUGGGAAGGCUUAGACAGCUAGGAUGUUGGCUUAGAAGCAGCCAUCAUUUAAAGAAAGCGUAAUAGCUCACUAGUCGAGUCGGCCUGCGCGGAAGAUGUAACGGGGCUAAGUUGUAAACCGAAGCUGCGGCAAUGUUCUAUGAACAUUGGGUAGGGGAGCGUUCUGUAAGCCGUUGAAGGUGUGUUGUAAAGCAUGCUGGAGGUAUCAGAAGUGCGAAUGCUGACAUGAGUAACGACAAGGGGGGUGAAAAACCUCCCCGCCGGAAGACCAAGGGUUCCUGUCCAACGUUAAUCGGGGCAGGGUAAGUCGACCCCUAAGGCGAGGCUGAAAAGCGUAGUCGAUGGGAAACGGGUUAAUAUUCCCGUACUUCUUACAAUUGCGAUGGGGGGACGGAGAAGGCUAGGUGGGCCUGGCGACGGUUGUCCAGGUUCAAGUGCGUAGGCU
Molecule: ribosomal RNA, 1472 nt
Filed under: Vibrio vulnificus
Lineage: Bacteria; Pseudomonadati; Pseudomonadota; Gammaproteobacteria; Vibrionales; Vibrionaceae
Description: partial 23S ribosomal RNA
Rfam family: Bacterial large subunit ribosomal RNA
Source: RNAcentral